UACUUAGGUGGCAAGCGUUGUCCGGAUUUACUGGGCGUAAAGAGCGCGCAGGCGGUCGUUCAAGUCGCGUGUGAAAGCCCCCGGCUCAACUGGGGAGGGUCACGCGAUACUGAUCGACUGGAAGGCAGGAGAGGGUAGUGGAAUUCCCGGUGUAGUGGUGAAAUGCGUAGAUAUCGGGAGGAACACCAGUGGCGAAGGCGACUACCUGGCCUGUUCUUGACGCUGAGGCGCGAAAGCUAGGGGAGCAAACGGG
RNAcentral lists this ribosomal RNA (253 nucleotides) under uncultured bacterium. RNAcentral's name for it is "partial 16S ribosomal RNA". It matches the Rfam family "Bacterial small subunit ribosomal RNA", at positions 524 to 776 of the family's 1533-position model. The record is from RNAcentral.